This is a long non-coding RNA of Drosophila willistoni, 647 nucleotides long. RefSeq lists it as uncharacterized. The record is from RefSeq and is a predicted model, not a curated record. The transcript has 2 exons. NCBI's taxonomy places the organism in Eukaryota, Metazoa, Arthropoda, Insecta, Diptera, Drosophilidae.
UGUGACCUUAAUUGCCGACAAACAGUGUUUGCAGAUGGUGCUGGUUUAUUUUCAUUUUGAAGGGAUUUCCCACUUUGAUUUGAUGUAAAGGAGUAAGAAGUUGGAAUAUGUAUUGGCAACUUGCAAUUCUCGGCUUCACGGUUGCAGCAGCUUUGUGUACGUACUAUAUUACGAGUCAAGCAGAAAAUGUACCCCAACAAAACCAACCCAAACCAAAGGAGCGUAAAAAGACUCAAGAAAGACGUCAUACUAAACUGUUAAAAGCAAGCAAACCCGGUGAUCAAUGCUUCUGGUGCACUAAUGCGUUAUCAGUGGAAGAUUGGAAUAUUUUACGUUGUCGACAUGCCUUGCAUAAGGAUUGCUAUAAAGAUUUUAUACGAAUGGAUACAAAGUGCCUAAUUUGUCAGUCGACUGAUCCCUGUGUUAUUUGUUUUAAUAAUGACAAACCACUAACGGAAGAGAAUGCAACAUAUCUAAGCUGUUGCCACGCAUUACACACAGACUGUUUAGCUAAAUACGUGGAAAACGGCUUUGAGAUUUGUCCGUUGUGCCGCAAGACAAUCUAGUUCAACUUUAUUUAUAGUUGCCCUUUUUUAUUUUUCGUUUUACAAAAUGGAAAUGCCUAAUAAAAUGCGUCAAAAACGGGA